Molecule: ribosomal RNA, 498 nt
Filed under: uncultured bacterium
Lineage: Bacteria
Description: partial 16S ribosomal RNA
Rfam family: Bacterial small subunit ribosomal RNA
Source: RNAcentral
GGACGAACGCUGGCGGCGUGCCUACUCCAUGCAAGUCGAACGCUGAAGAGAGGAGCUUGCUCUUCUUGGAUGAGUUGCGAACGGGUGAGUAACGCGUAGGUAACCUGCCUUGUAGCGGGGGAUAACUAUUGGAAACGAUAGCUAAUACCGCAUAACAAUGGAUGACCCAUGUCAUUUAUUUGAAAGGGGCAAAUGCUCCACUACAAGAUGGACCUGCGUUGUAUUAGCUAGUAGGUGAGGUAACGGCUCACCUAGGCGACGAUACAUAGCCGACCUGAGAGGGUGAUCGGCCACACUGGGACUGAGACACGGCCCAGACUCCUACGGGAGGCAGCAGUAGGGAAUCUUCGGCAAUGGGGGCAACCCUGACCGAGCAACGCCGCGUGAGUGAAGAAGGUUUUCGGAUCGUAAAGCUCUGUUGUAAGUCAAGAACGAGUGUGAGAGUGGAAAGUUCACACUGUGACGGUAGCUUACCAGAAAGGGACGGCUAACUACGUG